AAGUCGUAACAAGGUUUCCGUAGGUGAACCUGCGGAAGGAUCAUUACAAAACAAAAUCCAAACCACACCAAAUGUGCUCUAUAAAUGCUGAGAAGCUGUCUUUGUGUGUGUUAAUGUUUGUGUGAGGAGAAAAAUUUAUUUUUUCCUCCUCGCACUCUCACACACACACACAAUCCUUCUUUUCAGCAUUGUCUUUGUUUAUCAAUUUUUUCAUUAACUCCUUGUUUAACCAACAACGGAUUACAAUGUUAAAACUUGAAACAAAAAAACAAAACAAAAUGACAACUUUUAACGGUGGAUCUCUUGGCUCGU
RNAcentral lists this unclassified non-coding RNA (312 nucleotides) under fungal sp. RNAcentral describes it as "partial internal transcribed spacer region". The stretch from base 1 to 46 matches the Rfam family "Eukaryotic small subunit ribosomal RNA", at positions 1786 to 1831 of the family's 1831-position model. Lineage: Eukaryota; Fungi. The record is from RNAcentral. RNAcentral also lists the same sequence under 1 other name.